RNAcentral lists this ribosomal RNA (426 nucleotides) under uncultured bacterium. RNAcentral describes it as "bacterial SSU rRNA". It matches the Rfam family "Bacterial small subunit ribosomal RNA", at positions 353 to 772 of the family's 1533-position model. The record is from RNAcentral.
AGUGGGGAAUUGUUCACAAUGGGCGCAAGCCUGAUGACGCAAUGCCGCGUGGCGGAUGAAGGUCUUCGGAUUGUAAACUCCUGUUGCCAGGGACGAAUGGCUCCGACAUAAUACGUCGGAGAAUGACGGUCCCUGGUGAGGAAGCCCCGGCUAACUCUGGUCCAGCAGCCGCGGUAAUACAGAGGGGGCAAGCGUUGUUCGGAAUUACUGGGCGUAAAGGGCGCGUAGGCGGCCCGCUAAGUCGAACGUGAAAUCCCCAGGCUCAACCUGGGAACUGCGUCCGAUACUGGCAGGCUUGAAUCCGGGAGAGGGAUGUGGAAUUCCAGGUGUAGCGGUGAAAUGCGUAGAUAUCUGGAGGAACACCGGUGGCGAAGGCGGCAUCCUGGACCGGUAUUGACGCUGAGGCGCGAAAGCUAGGGGAGCAAA